This 1423-nucleotide ribosomal RNA is filed under the name Salmonella enterica subsp. enterica serovar Newport. RNAcentral describes it as "bacterial LSU rRNA". It matches the Rfam family "Bacterial large subunit ribosomal RNA", at positions 1538 to 2925 of the family's 2925-position model. The record is from RNAcentral. Lineage: Bacteria; Pseudomonadati; Pseudomonadota; Gammaproteobacteria; Enterobacterales; Enterobacteriaceae.
AAAUCCGGAAAAUCAAGGCUGAGGCGUGAUGACGAGGCACUACGGUGCUGAAGCAACAAAUGCCCUGCUUCCAGGAAAAGCCUCUAAGCAUCAGGUAACAUCAAAUCGUACCCCAAACCGACACAGGUGGUCAGGUAGAGAAUACCAAGGCGCUUGAGAGAACUCGGGUGAAGGAACUAGGCAAAAUGGUGCCGUAACUUCGGGAGAAGGCACGCUGACACGUAGGUGAAGUGAUUUACUCAUGGAGCUGAAGUCAGUCGAAGAUACCAGCUGGCUGCAACUGUUUAUUAAAAACACAGCACUGUGCAAACACGAAAGUGGACGUAUACGGUGUGACGCCUGCCCGGUGCCGGAAGGUUAAUUGAUGGGGUCAGCGCAAGCGAAGCUCCUGAUCGAAGCCCCGGUAAACGGCGGCCGUAACUAUAACGGUCCUAAGGUAGCGAAAUUCCUUGUCGGGUAAGUUCCGACCUGCACGAAUGGCGUAAUGAUGGCCAGGCUGUCUCCACCCGAGACUCAGUGAAAUUGAACUCGCUGUGAAGAUGCAGUGUACCCGCGGCAAGACGGAAAGACCCCGUGAACCUUUACUAUAGCUUGACACUGAACAUUGAGCCUUGAUGUGUAGGAUAGGUGGGAGGCUUUGAAGCGUGGACGCCAGUCUGCGUGGAGCCGACCUUGAAAUACCACCCUUUAAUGUUUGAUGUUCUAACGUGGACCCGUAAUCCGGGUUGCGGACAGUGUCUGGUGGGUAGUUUGACUGGGGCGGUCUCCUCCUAAAGAGUAACGGAGGAGCACGAAGGUUGGCUAAUCCUGGUCGGACAUCAGGAGGUUAGUGCAAUGGCAUAAGCCAGCUUGACUGCGAGCGUGACGGCGCGAGCAGGUGCGAAAGCAGGUCAUAGUGAUCCGGUGGUUCUGAAUGGAAGGGCCAUCGCUCAACGGAUAAAAGGUACUCCGGGGAUAACAGGCUGAUACCGCCCAAGAGUUCAUAUCGACGGCGGUGUUUGGCACCUCGAUGUCGGCUCAUCACAUCCUGGGGCUGAAGUAGGUCCCAAGGGUAUGGCUGUUCGCCAUUUAAAGUGGUACGCGAGCUGGGUUUAGAACGUCGUGAGACAGUUCGGUCCCUAUCUGCCGUGGGCGCUGGAGAACUGAGGGGGGCUGCUCCUAGUACGAGAGGACCGGAGUGGACGCAUCACUGGUGUUCGGGUUGUCAUGCCAAUGGCACUGCCCGGUAGCUAAAUGCGGAAGAGAUAAGUGCUGAAAGCAUCUAAGCACGAAACUUGCCCCGAGAUGAGUUCUCCCUGAGACUUAGAGUCUCCUGAAGGAACGUUGAAGACGACGACGUUGAUAGGCCGGGUGUGUAAGCGCAGCGAUGCGUUGAGCUAACCGGUACUAAUGAACCGUGAGGCUUAACCUUACAACGCCGAAG